UUCAUUUAUUAGUUGUGUGACAAUGUAGCAGGACACUUUUCUGUAUUCUUCAUGACAUGACAUGUACAAUGACUGACAGCGAUCUAAACAGUCUGUAUCAUCGUAUCGUAUUCUUACCGGACAGAUUUUAGCAGCUGAUACCAAAAUGUUGCUCGCAUGUAACCUAAGGCCAUGAAGCUCCACCUUCACGAUGGAGGUACAACAUAAAGAGUUAAGUACAUUAAAGUACUGUGCAAAAACUAAGGUGCUGGCUGCCACCAUUUCUCAAACACGCACAGAUCACAAAAGGCAAACUGAUCUGCGUCCAGUGAUUGAUCGACUCACCCACGGGCCAAAGUUAGCAGGGAGAAGAACCAGAGUAGAGCCGAGCAGUCGCAUUUCUUUGUGCUUUUACAGUAAACCGGGUGACUUGGGCUGUAGACAUUUUUAAAAAGUGGCCAGGAGAUUGGAUUAGAUUGAGGCAUCAACUUGAUGCCAAGAAAAUUAACAAAGCAAAAAUGCAACUGACAUGCAAGCCAAACCCAGGCUCUGACGGUGGCACCUGCCAGCGUGAAUGAUUUCUGUUUGAGUUUCAUGAACAUGUUCGCUGCAGAUUUUAUAGACACAUUAGAAGAGUCCAACCUUGUGGAUGUUUUAAAGGUCCCAUAUGGUGAAAAGCCACUUUUCUUGAGUUUUGUAGCUGUUAUAGACCAGAGACCUGCACUAUGAAGCAAGUUUGACAGAGUCAGGCUUUGUUUUUGUAAGUCGACAUAACAAAAAAUACAGUAACAGUCAGAUAUAACAGGUAUCACAAAGGUGGUCAUCAACUAUUCUCCUUUAUCUCAGACUUUCUGGUUCAGAGUCCCAUAAAAAGGGGCUUUGAUGCAUCAUGUGAAUCUCCUUCUUCUUCUUUAGUUGACAGGUUGUUUUAAUGGAGAACAAUAAGGAAUCUAAAAAUUUCCGAUGUUACGUGUGGCUGGCUGCUGUGUCUCUCCUUGCUCUCUCUGAUCUCCCUCCUCCCUUUACCUGUGCAACUGCAGCACACCUGAGUGCUGCAGGAGAGAGCAGCAGUCAGAGCAGAGAUUCAAGCACAACAAAGCCACACGUCCUCCCGGACAAACACGUGAGGGGUUUUGUUUUGUUUGUAAACUUUUCUUUUGUGAUUAACAUUGAGUUCUUUCUUUUCAGGUAUUUGAUUCAUUCCCUCCCCAUGCAUGUUUAGAUUGCUGGGUUUUGUUGUUUUAGUUUGGCUGUAGUUGCUGGUAGUCCUGUUUUCGCUGUUUUUUUCUUUCGUAGCAGUUAUUUGUGGUUAGGCAGUUUAGUAGGGGGUGGUGACUGGUCCGAGAGCCCACUGUGUGGUUAGCCAUGUUCACCACCCCUCUUUUGUUCCUUUUGGCCAGCAGCUACAGCCCUUUUCUUUCACCAUUAUUUCUACCUUGAUUAGUUGCGUUAUUUGUAAAUAAAGCUGGGGGUUUUUUUCCCUUCAUCAAUUUACCUGCUGUGUCUGUGUCCAGUUCAUAUGUUGCCGGUCUCUUUGUUUGUUUGAGCUUUAAACUCGUUAAUUUUAAAGAGGUCGUAACACCAACCUUGAAGAAGAAACGCUGCAGGAAUGUGUGUUAAUAUAACUUAUUUUACCGAUCAAUGCAGCCGCUUAUCCCGAACUGAAAGCUGCACAUUAGACUGUUAAACUUCAUACGUUUUAACAUGAUAUUGUAUUGGAGUGAAUGCAGGUCUGACACUGUCCCGUAAUGCAGGAUAUCACUUGUAAUUUUUGGCCCAGAUCGAAGCACAAUUAAUGAUAUUGGUUGAAUUUUAUAUGUAAUAAAUACCAGUAGAGUAUUUCAUUUUCUAAUCUGUGUUCUAUCAGCUGCAGUACCAGCAGCGUAAACGGACCAAACAAACAA
Long non-coding RNA from Amphiprion ocellaris (clown anemonefish), 1883 nucleotides. The record is from Ensembl. NCBI's taxonomy places the organism in Eukaryota, Metazoa, Chordata, Actinopteri, Pomacentridae.